Molecule: long non-coding RNA, 1461 nt
Organism: Bombyx mori (domestic silkworm)
Lineage: Eukaryota; Metazoa; Arthropoda; Insecta; Lepidoptera; Bombycidae
Exons: 2
Source: RefSeq, a predicted model, not a curated record
AAUUAGGUUUCGGCGCGCGAAUUGACGCUAACAAAACCGAUCACAGUUAUUAGGGAUUUUUUUAUAAAUAAGGAAAGCUAUUACCGAAGGUGCUUAGAUAGCUUAAAAAAUGUGAACUAGCUCAGGGAAAUCACGCCGCCGCGCCGUGCCUAAAAACUCAGAGACGUGAGGUUUUCGCGCCAAAACCGUAAAGCCUAUACUUUAAAGCAUAAGACGUGACCUCUUCAUGGUAGAAAUACGAAAGAUUGUAAUAAACGCUUGUCGUCGUGUUCGAGAAGUUUCUGGAGAAAUCGACGUCCGCAACACGUUCUAGUUAAAAAUAAACGGGAUAAUAUAAAAAAAAAGAUUGAUUAAAAAUUAAUCUAGUGGCAUGUGCAUUUUCGUGUAUCACGACUUAGCUCGCUACUGCGUUACUUCUGAAGUAAUAAGAAUAUUAAAGUCAUCUUAUCCGUUCUGUUGUAGGUAGGUACCUUGUAACAUCGUGAAACAAUUAUAAUGUAAAUUGAAAAAUGUUUCGAUUAUCUUGAAGCGUAAUGAGUUGCUAUAUACUAUAAUUCAUUCGGCGCCAUUACGUCCGAAAUUUCCUUAAUUGUAUUAAUUAAAUAUAAUUUUCUCCAACAACUACCUUCGUAUAUAGUGAAAAAAAAAAUUUUUUUGUUAUUACAAUUUCAAAUACCUACACGCUGUUGAGGAAGUGAAGCGGUAGGAAGCGUAAAAAACCUAAAAAUGACAAAGUUCGUGACCUUAAUUUGAUUUGUGUUGCAAUGCAAAAAACGUUGGUUUAUUCAGCAGCUGGUUUAUUCAGCAGCAUACAUCAAGUGCUGGUCACAAUAAAGGCUCGUCGCAAUGAAUGGCAUUGCCUCGCAUCCAGCGGAUUCUCGGGUCAUCAAAUCAAAUCAAAUAUUUUUUUUUUUAUUCAACAUAUAUGAAAGUACAUGCUUGUUGAACGUCAAAAAGAACUACCGCUAAUUCACAAAAGCUAGCCUCCGUCCUGAGAAGAACUGACAAGAAACUCAGCAGGCAUAUCUUUUUUUUUUAAUAUUAGAUUUUUUUAAAUAUUUAUUCAUUUUCAUUUCGAUCAUUCAUUCAUUCGAUUAGAUCUUGCAUCGGGACGGAUGGACCUCCCCACACUUGACCUACCAAGCAAUGUAAACCGUACUUAAUUUACGAUAGGUACAUUUUUAUAAUAUACCAUUACUUAAGCUAGUUUUAUCGUGAAAAAAUUGCAAGCUGCAAUCUGAUAUGAUUUUCCAAUAUAUUAAGCUUUUGGAGUCAAGAAGAUGUUAUUUAUUAGAUUAUUAGAGGUUUGAUAAUGAGCGCUCACGGCUGCUUAUCUAAAGUUAAUAAAAAGGUUUCGACUAAUAUAAAAAUGUGCACACAAAAGGGCCACACGUCCUGAGAGUGAAAAUUUAAAAACGAAAUGUCUUCAUUUAGAAUCAAUAAAAAGUUUACAACUCAAAA